RNAcentral lists this non-coding RNA (143 nucleotides) under Burkholderia glumae. Lineage: Bacteria; Pseudomonadati; Pseudomonadota; Betaproteobacteria; Burkholderiales; Burkholderiaceae. The record is from RNAcentral.
CCCACCCACCCUCCAUCCCGCGUAGAAUCCAGCCGUUGCGUCGUGCGGAAGCCGGUGUGAAUCCGGCGCGGUCGCGCCACUGUCAGCGGGGCAUUCGCGUGCCCGCGAGCCAGACCCGCACGCGCGCGAUCCUUUCAUUCCAU